Molecule: non-coding RNA, 78 nt
Organism: Flavobacterium frigoris PS1
Lineage: Bacteria; Pseudomonadati; Bacteroidota; Flavobacteriia; Flavobacteriales; Flavobacteriaceae
Source: Rfam
GCCUAGCCCUGAUAGUAAUGAAAAUCCUUAUAGGCCAGUGUUUGGACUAUAAGAUUGUAAUGAAUAGCAGGACUUAGC